RNAcentral lists this transfer RNA (71 nucleotides) under Pseudomonas plecoglossicida. RNAcentral's name for it is "tRNA-OTHER". It matches the Rfam family "tRNA". Rfam says of the family: Transfer RNA (tRNA) molecules are approximately 80 nucleotides in length. Their secondary structure includes four short double-helical elements and three loops (D, anti-codon, and T loops). Further hydrogen bonds mediate the characteristic L-shaped molecular structure. tRNAs have two regions of fundamental functional importance: the anti-codon, which is responsible for specific mRNA codon recognition, and the 3' end, to which the tRNAs corresponding amino acid is attached (by aminoacyl-tRNA synthetases). tRNAs cope with the degeneracy of the genetic code in two manners: having more than one tRNA (with a specific anti-codon) for a particular amino acid; and 'wobble' base-pairing, i.e. permitting non-standard base-pairing at the 3rd anti-codon position. Lineage: Bacteria; Pseudomonadati; Pseudomonadota; Gammaproteobacteria; Pseudomonadales; Pseudomonadaceae. The record is from RNAcentral.
AGGCUGGUAACUCAGUCAGGUAGAGGCCAGUGCACGGGAGGUCGCGGGUUCAAAUCCCGCUCAGCCAAACA